CGGCGAGUGAAGCGGCAAAAGCUCAAAUUUGAAAUCUGGCACCUUCGGUGUCCGAGUUGUAAUUUGAAGAUUGUAACCUUGGGGUUGGCUCUUGUCUAUGUUUCUUGGAACAGGACGUCACAGAGGGUGAGAAUCCCGUGCGAUGAGAUGCCCAAUCCUAUGUAAGGUGCUUUCGAAGAGUCGAGUUGUUUGGGAAUGCAGCUCUAAGUGGGUGGUAAAUUCCAUCUAAAGCUAAAUAUUGGCGAGAGACCGAUAGCGAACAAGUACAGUGAUGGAAAGAUGAAAAGAACUUUGAAAAGAGAGUGAAAAAGUACGUGAAAUUGUUGAAAGGGAAGGGUUUGAGAUCAGACUCGAUAUUUUGUGAGCCUUGCCUUCGUGGCGGGGUGACCCGCAGCUUAUCGGGCCAGCAUCGGUUUGGGCGGUAGGAUAAUGGCGUAGGAAUGUGACUUUGCUUCGGUGAAGUGUUAUAGCCUGCGUUGAUGCUGCCUGCCUAGACCGAGGACUGCGAUUUUAUCAAGGAUGCUGGCAUAAUGAUCCCAAACCGCCCGUCUUGAACCACGGAC
RNAcentral lists this ribosomal RNA (563 nucleotides) under Meyerozyma caribbica. RNAcentral describes it as "partial large subunit ribosomal RNA". It matches the Rfam family "Eukaryotic large subunit ribosomal RNA", at positions 87 to 666 of the family's 3401-position model. Lineage: Eukaryota; Fungi; Ascomycota; Pichiomycetes; Serinales; Debaryomycetaceae. The record is from RNAcentral.